RNAcentral lists this ribosomal RNA (804 nucleotides) under uncultured bacterium. Its description in RNAcentral is "bacterial SSU rRNA". It matches the Rfam family "Bacterial small subunit ribosomal RNA", at positions 602 to 1399 of the family's 1533-position model. The record is from RNAcentral.
CCGGGGCGUUACCCCCCGGAGGUGGCUUUCAAAUAUUACUGAUCUUGAGUGAUGGAGGAGGCAGGCGGAAUUCUGUCUUUAGCGGUGAAAUGAGUAGAAUAUACGGAGGGAACACCAGUGGCGAAGGGGGGCGUGCUUGUACAAUAAACUGACGCUGAGGAGCGAAAGCGUGGGGAGCAAACAGGAUUAGAUACCUCUGGUAGUCCACGCCGUAAACGAUGGAUACUAGGUGUGGGAGGUAUUGACCCCCUCCGUGCCGGAGUUAACACAAUAAGUAUCCCACCUGGGGAGUACGGCCGCAAGGUUGAAACUCAUAGAUAUUGACGGGGGCCCGCACAAGCAGCGGAGUAUGUGGUUUAAUUUGAAGCAACGCGAAGAACCUUACCAGGUCUUGACAUCCUUUUGACCGCCCUAGAAAUAGGGUUUCCCUUCGGGGCAGAGGUGACAGGUGGUGCAUGGUUGUUGUCAGCUCGUGUCGUGAGAUGUUGGGUUAAGUCCCGCAACGAGCGCAACCCUUACGGUUAGUUGAUACGCAAGAUCACUCUAGCCGGACUGCCGUUGACAAAACGGAGGAAGGGGGGGGGGAGGUCAAAUCAUCAUGCCCCCUAUGACCUGGGGUACACACGUACUACAAUGGCAGUCAUAUAGAGGGAAGCAAAGCAGUGAUGUGGAGCAAAUCCCUAAAAGCUGUCCCAGUUCAGAUUGCAGGCUGCAACCCGCCCGCAUGAAGUCGGAAUUGCUAGUAAUCGCGGAUCAGCAUGCCGCGGUGAAUACGUUCCCGGGCCUUGUACUCACCGCCCGUCA